UGAACUGGUCCAAUGCCAUCCGCAGACCGGUGGCUCUAGUUUCAAAUUUGUUCAACCUCAUCCAAUGGCAGCAUAUUACAGUGUCCUAAACAGUAGCGACAUGAAUCAGUAUGGAUCUAGAGAAAAUCCAAACCAAGGUCCCGGCGUCGAAAUUACACUCUUAAAUCAUUCUUAUGCAUUUCCACAGAGCAUCGGAAGAAUACUAAUGGGACCAUAAAUCCGUGAACAACAAAGGUGACGAGAAAUAAAACGUGGACAGGAUGCCAUUUUUUCGAUCUUUACGACUGGUAAAAGAGAAAAGUUAGGAUUGAAUUCUGCAAAUAUGGAUUGUUAUAUAUAUAUAUAUAUUGCUUGAACUCUGAAUUGAUAUUGUUAACUAGACCUACAAAAUACUUUCUGAUGGGAAAUCACGAUUUGUAUAAAUUACAGGGUUUGUACAAAAGUGGAAGUGAUACAUUACAUGUAUAAUUUUUUCUUACAGGAUCAAGUGUUGUAAAAACAUGUUCUUGAAUUGGAAUUUGUGAGAAAAUGUUCCUGUUCUUUUCUUGACCAUUUGUCAAAUCAAGGCUUCUCUACCAAGCAUCUAGAUAAUAAAAAAAUGAUUGCUUUAGGUCUGUUCGAGAGCUUGAAAUAUCCAAAUCAUUUGACCAAAUAUAUGAAGAAUUAAAUUCCAAGCAGAAAUAUCAGCUUCACAGGGGAGGAGACCAUUCAUUCAUGGCAAUGAUUCAGACAAGCUUUGCAUCAAGCUACUUCCAAGACUCAAACCAAAGUCCAAAAACUAUCUCAAAAUUAUACAUGAAUUUUGUCAAAAUUUGACAUAAUUUUGAUUCAAAGAUAGACAUUUAAAGAAAUGAUUACAAAUAAGUGAAGAUUAGAAGCCACAGAUCCACUUAAACCAGCUCUCAUUAGAGAUCAGAACUAAGCCAGAUUGUCUAAAGAGAAGCAUUUUGCACCAAAUCAAAGCUAAAAUUGAAGUGAUACUAAACCCCCACAAAAGAUGGCGCCAUGAAUUUCCAGCUGAAAUUUUCAAAGGAUUCUACCAAACAAGAGAGGGGAAUUGGAAAAGACUGACCAGAACUCAUUAAAAGCUGAACCUUCAAAAUCUGCAAACAGAUCAGUGAUAAACCCUAGAAGAAGGCUGAGGUCCAAGCUUGAGAUUACCCAAAGGCACCAAGAUGCAGCUCUGAUUGACUGAAUUAAGAGAAUCAUUUUCACUAAUGAAAAAAAAGGGCAAUUUUGCUUAGGCUUAAAAAUACAAUCAUUUAGCAUAAAAAAAAAAAACAAACUUUUUU
This 1292-nucleotide long non-coding RNA is filed under the name Gossypium barbadense (sea-island cotton). Its description in RNAcentral is "long non-coding RNA (GBAR_LNC018248)". Lineage: Eukaryota; Viridiplantae; Streptophyta; Magnoliopsida; Malvales; Malvaceae. The record is from RNAcentral.